This 462-nucleotide ribosomal RNA is filed under the name Salmonella enterica subsp. enterica serovar Lubbock. Its description in RNAcentral is "partial 23S ribosomal RNA". It matches the Rfam family "Bacterial large subunit ribosomal RNA", at positions 454 to 816 of the family's 2925-position model. The record is from RNAcentral. Lineage: Bacteria; Pseudomonadati; Pseudomonadota; Gammaproteobacteria; Enterobacterales; Enterobacteriaceae.
CAUCCUCCAAGGCUAAAUACUCCUGACUGACCGAUAGUGAACCAGUACCGUGAGGGAAAGGCGAAAAGAACCCCGGCGAGGGGAGUGAAAAAGAACCUGAAACCGUGUACGUACAAGCAGUGGGAGCCCCACCACCAAAGCAUUCUCUGGUGUUGAAGGCCCUGCAAAGCAGCAUCGCGGUGGCGGAGCGUCGUUUGCGACGCCCAACACAAAAAACAAGCGGUGAGUGCUUUGGGGUGGGGUGACUGCGUACCUUUUGUAUAAUGGGUCAGCGACUUAUAUUCUGUAGCAAGGUUAACCGAAUAGGGGAGCCGUAGGGAAACCGAGUCUUAACUGGGCGUUAAGUUGCAGGGUAUAGACCCGAAACCCGGUGAUCUAGCCAUGGGCAGGUUGAAGGUUGGGUAACACUAACUGGAGGACCGAACCGACUAAUGUUGAAAAAUUAGCGGAUGACCUGUGGCU